Molecule: long non-coding RNA, 2270 nt
Filed under: Zostera marina
Lineage: Eukaryota; Viridiplantae; Streptophyta; Magnoliopsida; Alismatales; Zosteraceae
Description: long non-coding RNA (ZMAR_LNC001414)
Source: RNAcentral
CGAGACUCAGGAGUCGUUAAUGCAAACACUAUAAAUACCUCCCCUGGUCCAUGAAGGAAGGGGGUUGACAAUUGUAAAGAGUGAACACUUAAGAGAGUUGAAGGUGUGAACUUGCGUCGAUGAGCCCACACACUAACCGAACAAAAUGAUAAAAUGACAAAAUUUAAAUAAUAUGAACGAAGAAAAUUAAUUUAUAGACUAUAGAGAACAAUAUGGUUUCUUAUAGUGAAAAAAUAAUUUAAUAAAGGAUGGUCACUGCCUUACUUUGUAUCUACCUCUUACCUCUUCCUGACUGACUUAUGAACAUAGCCUUAUACAAGACAGAAUGCUGGCCGAAAUUAUUAAGGAUGGCCGAAGGGAUGGAAUUCCACAAUUUCGGCUGAUAAAGCAAAAUUCCAGAUGUCUUCUGAAUUAUUAUGUAUAGACUACAUUAUACAGUCCACGGGAAUCAAGAUUCAUCUGCCUCAUGUUUAAUCGAUAUAGUGUUCUGCAGCUCUGCGUUUUGAUAACAAAAUAUCAUUUAACUGUGAUGCGGAAAAUACAGCAAUGCCAUUUUUCAAUUAUUGGACCAAGUCACUAUUGGAGACAUGUUCAAGAUCAGUUAGGAGUUAGUUAAUAAUAAUAACUAAAGAUUAACUGUUUACUGUUAGCUAUUAAACAACUCUAUAAAUACAAUGAAGUAAUUGUAACAACCGAUCAGUUAGGUGUUUUUUCAAUUAUUUUUUUCAAUAAGCAUUUGAUAUUGCAUUAUUAUUAUUUAAUAUUUAUUCGAUCAAUUACUUAUAUGUUAGAUAGCAAAAUCAAUUAAUCCAACGUAAGGUUCAAAUGCUGGAAUGAAUGUGUCCUGUCUUUCCGGAAAAACCCCACUAAUGAAGGAUUGCCAGGGGAAAUCACAAUGAUUCUCAAAGAAGCAAUUGCCAGAAAUUAUAGCAGUCUGCUUGAUUGCCACCAUUAGAAAUAGCAAACCAAUAGAGAGUUGAAACUUAGAAGAAUAGAAAACUAAUCGAUUUAAAUCUAUUUCGGUGAAUCAGGAAGGUUAUGAGCUGGAUCCGCCUAAGUUCCCCAAACCACACAAACUAUUAUGUGAAAUCCUCAGAUUUCUGCAUACCAGAAUAUGAACACAUGACAAUAAAAAAGGUCAUUUUGUUUGUCAAGAUAGAAAGACUUGGUAUGUAUAUCUGAUAUACAGAUGUAAAAACCAAGCCAAACAGUGAAGUUCAAUCUUGAAUCAUGCAAAUCAUUGAUCCAUAGUGCUCAUACAAUCAUACUAAUGAUGGCCAACUUCAUUUUCUUGAAAGAACUUAGUAUAUCAAUUCACUUAAUUUAUAUAAAAAAAAUACUAGUUGAAAAUUUAAAAUAGCAUUUUAUUUCUUAAUUUGUGAAUUUGUGUGUGAAAAAAGGUUCAAUGUUUGUAAUAAAUUGAAUCAGAUAUGAGGAAUUAAGAAUGACGAGACAUCCUUUUGAUUCAGGGUUCAACCAUCAGGUUCAGUUUAUAAUUUAUGGGAUGUUGAUUUUAAAUUUUUAAUAUAUAAAAUAUGUCUAACAAUCUAAUAUAGACAUACUGGCAUGGCAUCCCAUCAAGUAUCCGAUAUGAAUUUGACAAAACUAGUCAUUAACUCAUACUUGGCCAUUGGCAUUGAGAAAAUCUCACAAAAUGGAUGCCUUCAGAAUACAAUAAUUCAAUUGCUUGAGGAACUCUUUGGUUUAGUAAAAUAUAAAUAAAUAAAUAAAUAAAUAAAUAAAUAACAGAUUACAUCUAACAUUGCAUUUGAAAUUUUGAAUGGCAUUUGACAAUUUAAAUAUGUAAAGCAAAUACAUCUAACUCAAAAAAUCAUAAAAUGUGUACAAUUUACCUCUAUUUGUGAUUUUUUAAGUUGAACCCUCAAUUCCUUAUUUCUAGCAGAAUAUAAUUCAUCUAAUACCAAAGAAGAUGUGGAGUUAGUAGUUAAUUUUUCAGGAAGAAAACCGCAGGGAGUAACAGAUGGUUGGGACAUGGGACAGGCCAGAAUAUUUCUUCUUUGUUUGGAAAUUACCAAACCCCCUCUGACGGUCUGACCUCUGUGCUACAAAAUGUAAAAAUAAAUAAACUUCAGUGAAGGAUUGAAGGAUGAACCUGGUCAAGAAGAAUGAAACAGCCUAGCUGUCUGCGAGAUGGAAGCAAUGAAGAAGUAAUUCUUGUCGUCAAGAAGGGGGAAAUUCAUCGCUAGGAUUAUAAGAGAUUCAAUUUGGGGGAAAUAUUUGAUUUGUUGGAAAUAUAAAUUAUUUAUAAC